GACGAACGCUGGCGGCGUGCUUAACACAUGCAAGUCGAACGGAAAGGCCCUGCUUUGGUGGGGUGCUCGAGUGGCGAACGGGUGAGUAACACGUGAGUAACCUGCCCUUGACUUUGGGAUAACUUCAGUAAACUGGUGCUAAUACCGGUUAGGAGCUCCUGCUGCAUGGUGGGGGUUGGAAAGUUUCGGCGGUUGGGGAUGGACUCGCGGCUUAUCAGCUUGUUGGUGGGGUAGUGGCUUACCAAGGCUUUGACGGGUAGCCGGCCUGAGAGGGUGACCGGCCACAUUGGGACUGAGAUACGGCCCAGACUCCUACGGGAGGCAGCAGUGGGGAAUAUUGCACAAUGGGCGGAAGCCUGAUGCAGCAACGCCGCGUGCGGGAUGACGGCCUUCGGGUUGUAAACCGCUUUCGCCUGUGACGAAGCGUGAGUGACGGUAAUGGGUAGAGAAGCACCGGCUAACUACGUG
This 468-nucleotide ribosomal RNA is filed under the name uncultured bacterium. Its description in RNAcentral is "partial 16S ribosomal RNA". It matches the Rfam family "Bacterial small subunit ribosomal RNA", at positions 28 to 507 of the family's 1533-position model. The record is from RNAcentral.